Long non-coding RNA from Zingiber officinale, 764 nucleotides. RefSeq lists it as uncharacterized. The transcript has 3 exons. NCBI's taxonomy places the organism in Eukaryota, Viridiplantae, Streptophyta, Magnoliopsida, Zingiberales, Zingiberaceae. The record is from RefSeq and is a predicted model, not a curated record.
GACCUCCAGCGCCAACUCCGCACAAAAGCCCUAGCCUCUCAACAUCCAGCGCCGCCUCCAGCCAGCAUCGCCGACCUCCAGCGCCGCCUCCCUUCAGCAUCGCUGACCUCCAGCAACCUCCCGUCCUCCACCUCCAUUCGAUUCCAGCGACCUCCGUCCUUGGCACCGUGUGGACAGAGCAAUUUGAAGAUUAUUUAAGCAAUGCAAGCGGUGUUGUGCAUUUGGAACGGAUCUUGAUCUUUGAAGAUCUCUGUCAAAGAUCCAACUAUCAUUGUGCAAAGAAGAAAGAGAACUAAGCACCAACUGGGUUCAAGACAAAAAAUGAACGUAUUUUUUUUAAAGAUAAAACAAGCACACAGGAGAUCUCGGAACAAGUAAGAAGUCAGAGAAGAGUUGACUUUGUUUCUCACGCUGAUCAGGACGGGCACCAAGAACAGUUGCUUGGUCUCUGACCUACUCCCAAGCUGCUAGCUCUUUGGCUGUCGAGAUAUAAUGGAUGUUGAUCUAGUGAUGGAGAAUGAUGAGACUAAUUGUGAAGCCUAAAUAUUGAAGGAAAAGUCCUUGGAUCAUCCCUAAAUAUUAUUUUCUUCUUAAUACAUGUGCUGCUUAUGCUUGAGGCACAGUGUAUAUCAAUUAUUUACAGCAAAUUUAUAUGAAAUUAACUCAUCUGAGUUUGUAAUUUAUUUCACCAAGAAUUUUCUUGUAGCAUUCUACUUGGAAAUCCCAAAUAAGAUAUUCAAGUCAUUAAGAUUGUGUUCCAUUUC